GUGAACUAUGCUUGGCGAAGACGAAGCCCCAGGAAACUGUGGUGGAAGUCUGUAGCCGUUUUGACGUGCAAAUCAAUGGUGUCAGCUGAGCAUAGGGGCGAAAGACCAAUCGAACUAUCUAGUAGCUGGUUCCAUUCGAAGUUUCUCUCAGGAUAGCUUGCGUGACAUUAACGCUAUGAGUCUGGACUCUUCGGUACACGAAAGCGUGCUGGUAGUCCGUCCCACUUUGUCUGCAGUUGUUGAGAGUUGACGUAGCCAAGAACUUUGUCAUCUCACUCUCUAGUCGCCAGGGUAGCGUAUCAUUUGACCGUGAGCAGUUACGUCUGGUAAAGAGAAUGAGUAGAGUUAGCUCGUUGCUUUCUAUAGCAACAGCAGCGGGGCGUCCUACGCCUCGCACUAUUAUCAAACUUUAAAUGGGCGAGGUACCCGGUAUUUUCUUAAUUGCUUGAUACCGGGGCGAAACACGUCUUGGCUUUACCGUCGAGGCGAAGGUGAAUGCGUGCGCGCAAAGUGGGUCCUUUCUGGUAAGCAGAACUGAUAAUGAGGGAUGAACCUAACGCAUGUGCUAAGGGGCCAAAGAGACAGCUAUUUCUCGAAACCAUUGGAAAGGUGUUGCUUGCUGAAGACAGCAGGACGGUGGUCAUGGAAGUCGAUAUCCGCUAAGGAGUGUGUAACUACUCAUCCUGCCGAAGCGAGUAACCCUGAAAAUGGAUGGCUCUAUAGCUCUCUCCCGAUGCACGGCCGUCAGUAGCACUUGAGUCACCUCGUGUCUCUACGCUCUGACGAGUAGAAAGGUUGUGCUGCAUUGCGUUGACGGCUAUCGCGUGAGCGUGGUCUGAGCGUGCAGCAAUACAGAUCUUGGUGGUAGUAGCAAGUACUCUGGUGAAUAACCUUGAGCUGUGAGGUUGAUAAGGGUUCCAUGUCAACAGUGUUUGUACAUGGGUAAGUCGAUCCUAAGCCCCCAUUAUUCUUAAUGGUGAUUGCGAUCGCCCGAGAGUUAUGGUGUCUGUAGUAGAGUCAGAGUGGGAGCGCUCGCGCGCUCUCUCUUGGAUUGCGUCGUGUCUGUCGCAUGCCUUUUCUGCGUGAACAGGGGCACAGGUGUGUUGUACUCAGAGAGAGGUGAAUGUGUGAACGGUAGCGUUUUUCUCUUUGAGAAGUGGGACGCUGUGACCUAGUAAUAUCGUUCGUAAUCUCGCUAAAAUACGAUGCUCUCGUGUGCCGCUUAGUACCAAUGAUGUACAUGGGUUUUGCGCGUGAUACGUUAAGUCACUACACUUUCGCGUCGCUCGGCGAAAGGGAAUUGCGGACUCAGUUCGUAAACCACACCUGGUACCCUGAGACGGUUCACCGUUUCACGGACCUGGCAAGAGCUUGCCAGGCCAGUCGCUGUCAUAAGUAGCUCGGCGGGGAGAUUUCUUCUCUCUUUGAUAUAGAUACGUGUCCUGAAAGCACCUCGAGUGGCGGAAGGUCAACGCUAUCUAGCAGAGUACUCUACUCCCUCGAGUAGAUAACGAUGCUGCUUGUGAUCCGUGAAAAGGUGGUCGAGGGGAAAGUAUGGGACAAUAAGCACCCACAAUGCUACAAAAAGCAAACGAGAACAAGACUGUGUUUGUGUAAGCCCGCGCUUACUCCCACACGACUUGUGUUUUUGUGCGCCGCGUAUCUGUGUUGUGU
This 1674-nucleotide ribosomal RNA is filed under the name Themisto abyssorum. Its description in RNAcentral is "eukaryotic LSU rRNA". It matches the Rfam family "Eukaryotic large subunit ribosomal RNA", at positions 826 to 1888 of the family's 3401-position model. The record is from RNAcentral. Lineage: Eukaryota; Metazoa; Arthropoda; Malacostraca; Amphipoda; Hyperiidae.